This 330-nucleotide unclassified non-coding RNA is filed under the name plant metagenome. Its description in RNAcentral is "partial contains 5.8S ribosomal RNA, internal transcribed spacer 2, and large subunit ribosomal RNA". The stretch from base 1 to 105 matches the Rfam family "5.8S ribosomal RNA", at positions 50 to 154 of the family's 154-position model. The record is from RNAcentral.
GAAAUGCGAUAAGUAAUGUGAAUUGCAGAAUUCCGUGAAUCAUCGAAUCUUUGAACGCACAUUGCGCCCUCUGGUAUUCCGGGGGGCAUGCCUGUCCGAGCGUCAUUGCACACCCUCAAGCGCGGCUUGUGUGUUGGGCCCCCGCGUCCUUGCCUCCUGAAAGGACGGGCCCGAAAGGCAGUGGCGGCGUCGCGGUUAUCCGAUCAGCCAGAGCGUAUGGGGACUUUCUCUCUGUCACACGCCCGCGGCGCGGACCGACGCCUGUCGACCUUUAUUCAUCUUUUUCUCGGUUGACCUCGGAUCAGGUAGGGAUACCCGCUGAACUUAAGC